GCAAAAAACUGUUUUAGACCAUAAAUGGUUACCGUCCUAUGGGAAAUCCCAUUAUACGUUAGCAUCAAGCUAGCAGACUUAGCUUUAGAUUGAUGUCUACUUUCAUGGACCGUUUCAGAUCUAUUAAUCGAUUUUAUCAAUUUUAUAGCCAUUUUUUUCUGUAGAGCAGCAGCACGUUAGAAGAACUUUGCCUCUGACUUAUGGGCGGGACUAUUGAUGUGAAGCAACCCCGCCCCCUUUCCUCUUGCUGUUAGCUGUCGAUCUACACCAGGAGGGGGCAAAGUAUUUGAAUCGUGGGCCAAAAAAGUUAUGAGCAGAUGUGUGAAAUGUUUGAUAAUCUACCUCAUAAAAUAUAGAAAUAAUAAUAAUUUUGAUUGAAAAUAAAUAUGUACAGUUUUAGACAAAAUAUUUUUUGGAUUUUUAUUUAAAAAUUGUGACUUUUGUACUAAAAUGACUGUCCGACUCGGAAAAUACACAUGUACAUCAGAAUCUUCUUAAAUCACACGAAUGCAGAAUAUUUGUCUGCAGCUAAACAAAUGUCAAUGUUUUUGUAGUGCACCACUUAUGGGUAGACACCAGAAUUACAAGGAAAAAAACAUUUACAAGUUAUCCGUAUGAUUUAUUCUAGUUUGGCGGGCCAGAUUAACUUGUAGUUUUACGCACUUUCCCAAGAUGUUCAUGUAUCCAUUUAUCUGUAAGUGGAUGCAUUGGAAUGGAGCAAAGGAGGAAACUUUGUGUGUAUUUUUUUGUCAUAAAUGUAAUAUUUUUCAAACAAUACAUGACGAUUUGAAAUAAAAAAAUGCUAAUUUCCUUUAUAAAUGUCCUCCAUCAUAACCAAAAUAGAAAAUGUUAAAAACACCAGAGUGGACCUUUCAAUAAAAACUCUGAAACUCUUAAAAGUUUCGUUUAAGCGCUGCGCUCCACAGAAAACGGGUUAAUUGUGAAGAAGUCUCUCCAUAUCAAGCUGCGACAGUCACAGCUGAACUUCAGAAUCACGUGUUGUUUUCACUUUGAAAGGAAGUGUUUUCUCCUGCUAAUAAAGCAAAUUUGAAUUUCAAUCGACUUGAGAAAGAGAUGACUAAUAGCAGCAACAGAGGAAGAAAGGAAGGAGGAGAAUGACUGAAGCUGGUCCGUAUUUGAUUGGAGCGUUUUGUGUGGCAGUGAUUAUCAGAGGUGUGUUCAAUGGUUUUCUGUAGAUCAAGUUUCGUUUCUCGAUCAAAGAACAAAAGAAGAAGAAGAAGAAGAAGAAGGGGAUGAAAGGAGUGAUGGAUGAGUGUAUAAAUAAAGCGGCUGCGCCGAUUCGUCUGGAUGUGCGGCGCUUCCCGCCUCCCGGCGUCCUCUCCUGCUCGCUCUCUGCCGCCUGCACCUCCGUUCCCCUCUCGGGCCCACCUGCUGGGCCGGUCGCUCCUCCGCACGCCGAGCGGCAGUGAAAACAGGGGAGGCAUGCUGUUACCACGGCAACCGUAACCCUGCUUCGACUGCGGGCCACGAAAAAGUCCCGGCAUUUAAUCUCAGGAUCUUUUUGCCCCACUUUUUCAGUUUGGAGGGACAACGUAAACACACUGUGGUGAGGGGAAACGGCGCCGAGCUUUUAAUUAGGAACCAACGGUUUAUUCCAACCAACCAACAGAAAAAAAAAAAACAUUUUUUGGCUCCUAUCUCACUAAGUUGUUAAUUUAGUCAAAAUGCAUAAGGUUGUUUGUUGCUUUGAUGUACAUUUUCACAGACAUCACUCACAACUAUUUAACAUUUUGAACUACAAAUGUUAUUUUGAGGUCAAACGGACUCCCUCGCUCUGGAGUGAUUCGGGAUCCAAACACCUGAGAAGAAGCAGCGUUGCCUCUCCUCUUGUCUCAUUUAUCGUUGUUGCCACAAGUGGUUUGGCUUGGUCUCAGGAGGGCGCACGCUGCCGCUGCUGCUGCUCUCCACGGUGAGUAACGGCUGCAGUCGGCUGCUGUCGCACAGCUGCAGCAGUGUCCUUAAACAAGUCACGUAGCGUAAAAAAAAAAAAAGAAAAAUACUCCUUUUUGAUGCUUCAGCUUGAAUACUAACAGCUAAUAAACAGAGCAACUCUCUGGUUCUUAAUGUCCUAAUGAUGGUUUGAGUAGAUUUUACAUCAAAUCACAUUCAUAUAAACUACAUUUAGCCAAAAAUAUUGUUUCAAUCUUUUGGUUCAAAGAUAAUAAGCUUUCUGUGAAUCAUUCUCUGUUUGAACGUGGACUCAAAAAGAGUUUUUGUAGGACUGAACCAUUAAAAAAUGUGGAUUACAAAGUCUAAUAAAUACUACACUUUAACAUUAAAAACGUGACAAAUCAUCUUAAAGUGAAAUGAAAUAUCCAUUUUAAGACUGGUGGAAAACAAGCAGAUAAAUUCAGAUUUACUUGUAGGACCACAGACGACACUUUCAACUACAGUGAGAAUCAGACAGUUAGAGACAAACGUCUUCCAUUUAAGUUCAAAAACUAAAACAGGAUUUUAUUUUUGAUAAUUAUAAACGCUUACGCUUAAAGUCCCUUUCCGAUAAUCUUUUGAUCUAUUUUAGGAGUUCUCAGUGGGCUUUUAAUGAUGAAAAUCAAAACAUCUGUGUUGUUUCUAGGACAUAGUUUCUGCAGAGUGGCAGUAAUGAAUCGCAUAAACGUACGUCAACGCUACAAGCUUUUUCUAACAGUUUUUUUCCUGAUUUCCAACAAUUUGAAUAAACAAAUACUCAGAAAUACAAAUCAAAGCUCAAGUUUUUUUUUAUAUAUGUCCACAAGAACAUGUUAAAAAAAACAGCAAUUUUCAUCACUGUGGGUCUUUAGAUCACAACUUUGAGAAGUGAUGAUAUUUGAGAAGACGCCCUGGAUGAACUGUAAAGUCUGGAACCUUCUCAGUUCCAUAAAAUCUAUUAUAUGAAACGAUUAAAGAGCGAGCAAAACAUUGAGAAUCUUAAACUAGAAGUAGUCUUGUGAUCCACUUCUGUCCAUUUGCAAAUAAGGUACAUUGAAUGCUAAUUUACCAAUAAAACAUAUUUUUGUUAGGAUUUUAAGCAGAUAAAAGGGUUAAAGCUGAAAAGAUGGAGAACAGUUUUAAAAAACGUGCUUCAGUUUAUAUAAAAAAAAGGAGUGGAGUCACUGUGACUGCAGCUAUAACUGACACCAGCGCCCGCCCAUCCCGGAGCGGCACCUCAGCAGCGGUUCUUCUGAAUCCAGCGGAGGGAAGCCUCCUCGGCCCAUCCAGAUCACGUUACACAUGGCCCCGAGCUCUGAUGUGGCUUCAAAUAGAGAGCGCACAAACCCCGGCCCACAACCACACACAUCACUUCGGCGCAGGCUCCGUCCUGUGGUCUCCUCCUCAAUAUGAGAGAAUACAUUUCCAAACUACACCCCCCAACAUGCUGCUCUCAUUUAAAGUUUUUGGACGGAGGGGGGUACGGAGUUUGCCAGUGGCACACUUUACUGUCAUCUCGAAUGUUAGUUCUUAGGGUUUUUUGGUGCAGACCACCAACCUCCAAAGUUUUGGGCAACUUUUACACAGACGGUAAAAUAACUUUUUCAACUUUCUUUAAAGACACCCUCCAAAAAAAAAAAAAAAA
This is a long non-coding RNA of Oryzias melastigma (Indian medaka), 3574 nucleotides long. RefSeq lists it as uncharacterized. The record is from RefSeq and is a predicted model, not a curated record. The transcript is spliced from 2 exons. NCBI's taxonomy places the organism in Eukaryota, Metazoa, Chordata, Actinopteri, Beloniformes, Adrianichthyidae.